This 740-nucleotide ribosomal RNA is filed under the name uncultured bacterium. Its description in RNAcentral is "bacterial SSU rRNA". It matches the Rfam family "Bacterial small subunit ribosomal RNA", at positions 8 to 796 of the family's 1533-position model. The record is from RNAcentral.
AGAGUUUGAUCAUGGCUCAGAACGAACGCUGGCGGCAGGCUUAACACAUGCAAGUCGAACGCACCGCAAGGUGAGUGGCAGACGGGUGAGUAACGCGUGGGAACGUGCCCUUCAGUUCGGAAUAACCCAGGGAAACUUGGGCUAAUACCGGAUACGUGCGAGAGCAGAAAGAUUUAUCGCUGAAGGAUCGGCCCGCGUCUGAUUAGCUAGUUGGUAGGGUAAUGGCCUACCAAGGCGACGAUCAGUAGCUGGUCUGAGAGGAUGAUCAGCCACAUUGGGACUGAGACACGGCCCAAACUCCUACGGGAGGCAGCAGUGGGGAAUAUUGGACAAUGGGCGCAAGCCUGAUCCAGCCAUGCCGCGUGAGUGAUGAAGGCCUUAGGGUUGUAAAGCUCUUUCAGCGGGGACGAUAAUGACGGUACCCGCAGAAGAAGCCCCGGCUAACUUCGUGCCAGCAGCCGCGGUAAUACGAAGGGGGCUAGCGUUGUUCGGAAUCACUGGGCGUAAAGGGCGCGUAGGCGGCUUGAUAAGUCGGGGGUGAAAGCCUGUGGCUCAACCACAGAAUUGCCUUCGAUACUGUCUGGCUUGAGACCGGAAGAGGUAAGUGGAACUGCGAGUGUAGAGGUGAAAUUCGUAGAUAUUCGCAAGAACACCAGUGGCGAAGGCGGCUUACUGGUCCGGUUCUGACGCUGAGGCGCGAAAGCGUGGGGAGCAAACAGGAUUAGAUACCCUAGUAGUCC